CACUAUACAUUUCAGGUGAAUCUGUGAAUAUCCUGAAAUGGUCUACAAGUUGAGUUGCUUCUGAGGACUUUUCUGGUGAACAGAUCCUUCCAGAGAUCUGUGACCAGAAAGAGAAAGUUGCUAGCUAUGCAGCUGUGGUGUUGCACACAAUGCUGUGGUCUUGGUGUUACAGUAAAAAAAAAGCUACAACUGAUGGAGCCUCUGCUAUGACGUGUGUUGUCACACAGCCCACCGCGCUUUAACCCUCCCAGCCUCCCUCCUAGCUAUUAAUAAUCCUAGCUAUUAAUAAUCCCCCAUUUCACAUGAGAAAAUUGUGUUGCACAGAAGCUGACGAACUGGCCUCAGUUUUGUAGCCAGGGAACGGUGGUGCCACCUUCCUCCACCUCUUUCUUUACAUGACAUCCUGCUGCUCCCCAGCCGGCUGCCUAUCCGUACCUGUUUCUUGUUAUUUUAAACAUGCCACAUAAUUCAAACUAUGAUUAUUUUAUUCUGAAGAAAAGAUGGCCUCAAAAAAAGCUGUUGAGAGCAGCUCUAAAGGCAGAAGAAAUCUGUGAGAAGUGAACCUGAAUCCAUCAGGCCAAAGCAACAGCCGAGGAAGAAGAGAGGUGACCAGCAGGGAGAAGCCUGAGCUUUGUGUGAUGCCCUGUAGAUGUGGUCUUUCCAGAAGAACAUCGUCCACAGUGACCAACCAAAAAUGUGGGGAGCACGGAGAAGAAAAGGAAACAAACUCUUCCUUCCUGUCCUGUGCCUGUAGCAG
RNAcentral lists this long non-coding RNA (757 nucleotides) under Felis catus (domestic cat). RNAcentral's name for it is "lncRNA (ENSFCAG00000048961.1)". Lineage: Eukaryota; Metazoa; Chordata; Mammalia; Carnivora; Felidae. The record is from RNAcentral.